AACGAACGCUGGCGGCAGGCUUAACACGUGCAAGUCGAACGCUCCGCAAGGAGAGUGGCAGACGGGUGAGUAACGCGUGGGAAUCUACCCAUCUCUACGGAAUAACUCAGGGAAACUUGUGCUAAUACCGUAUACGCCCUUCGGGGAAAGAUUUAUCGGAGAUGGAUGAGCCCGCGUUGGAUUAGCUAGUUGGUGGGGUA
RNAcentral lists this ribosomal RNA (200 nucleotides) under uncultured bacterium. RNAcentral's name for it is "partial 16S ribosomal RNA". It matches the Rfam family "Bacterial small subunit ribosomal RNA", at positions 29 to 259 of the family's 1533-position model. The record is from RNAcentral.